Heterocephalus glaber (naked mole-rat) is the source of this 931-nucleotide long non-coding RNA. RefSeq lists it as uncharacterized. NCBI's taxonomy places the organism in Eukaryota, Metazoa, Chordata, Mammalia, Rodentia, Bathyergidae. The record is from RefSeq and is a predicted model, not a curated record.
CACAGAGAGCUGCUCCACCCUUUGUCCCAGAGAAACUCUGGCUCGUCAUGUCAUUAUUGCCCCACUGCAACCAGGUGCUCUCUGAUAAGUGCAGAUUUCAAAACUGUGCUCAUAAUUCCUGCCAAAGUGAUUUCCCAAAGUCAGGCACAAACUGGGCCUGGUAAAUGUGCCAUAAAACAAAAUUCAGACACGGGAACCUCCUAGAAUGGGCUCACACAUACACAUACACACACACAGCCUCUUUCUAGUACUUUAACUCAAUUACUUCUCUGAUUUCAGCCUGGAUUUCUAGAAGGAAGAAGCUGUUCCAAGCACAGUGCAAUUCCAGAGCUUCCCAGUGAAGAGGGCAACAGAGCAGAGUCUGGCUUCCUCUUGCUCUUGCAGAGGAAUGUUCCCAGAGCAUGCAGCCUUGUGAUCUGUUCUGGAGUCGGCCAUGUGCACGUCUGAGAGGAACAAAUUGUCUAUGGUCUUAUUAAAGAAUCUUCCCACAAAUUGAAACAUCAUGCACCUCUUGGUGUGGGCCACUGAGAAGACAUCCUUUAUGUAGCAUUUGUCCCCAAUCUGCUUGAUCUAAGCCUGAUCACGGGGAAGAAAUCAGAAUGUGAGAGGCAUCCUACAAACUGCAUUCUUCAGAAACAACACGUGAAAGACAACCAAGACUGAAAAGUGAUUCAAUUUAAAGGAGAUGCACUUGACUUGGCAACUGAAAGCAGCCUGUGACUCUGGACUGAGCACAGGAGCUAGGAGACAUGAUUUCUCUCCUGUGAGAUUGUUGGGCCAAUUGGUGCCAUCUAAACGUGGAUUGUACAUUAGGUCACAGUAUUGUAUCAAUGCUGAAUUUCCUCAAUAUGAUCAUUGCAAUGUGGUCAUAUGAGAGAAUGUUCUUUUCUUAGAGGUAAAGGAUGAAAAUUCUGGCAACUUAACCGGCAAA